ACCGCGUACUUUUUGUAGAACGGUCCGGCGAGUUACGCUUACUGGCAAGGUUAAGCACUUCAGGUGUGGAGCCGUAGGGAAACCAAGUCUUAAGAGGGCCAGAGUCAGUAGGAGUAGACCCGAAACCGGGUGAUCUAUCCAUGUCCAGGUUGAAGCUGCCGUAAGAGGUAGUGGAGGACCGAACCCACAUCCGUUGAAAAGGGUGGGGAUGAGGUGUGGAUAGGGGAGAAAUUCCAAUCGAACCCGGAGAUAGCUGGUUCUCCUCGAAAUAGCUUUAGGGCUAGCCUCGAUACAGAUUUGCGGAGGUAGAGCACUGAAUUUCCUAGGGGGCGUCAAAGCCUACCGAAGAAUAUCAAACUCCGAAUGCCGCGUAAUCGAUUAUCGGGAGUCAGACUGCACGAGAUAAGUUGGGCGGUCAAAAGGGAAAGAGCCCAGACCUUCAGUUAAGGUCCCCAAGUGCGCGUUAAGUGGAAAAGGAUGUGGGAUUUCGAAGACAACCAGGAUGUUGGCUCAGAAGCAGCCAUCCAUUCAAAGAGUGCGUAAUAGCUCACUGGUCGAGAGGUCCUGCGCCGAAAAUGUCCGGGGCUGAAACGCGCCACCGAAACUAAGGAACCGAAAGGUUGGUAGAGGAGCAUUGCAUGCGGGAAGAAGCAGUACCGUAAGGAGCUGUGGACUGCAUGGAAGAGAGAAUGCCGGAAUGAGUAGCGAGAAUAAGGUGAGAAUCCUUAUGGCCGAAUAUCCAAGGUUUCCAGAGUAAAGCUGAUCUGCUCUGGGUAAGUCGGGGCCUAAGGCGAGGACGAGAGUCGUAGCCGAUGGACAACAGGUGGAGAUUCCUGUACUGCGGUAUGACAGAACUGUGGGGACACGUAAGGAAAGCGGAAGCCGGGAAUGGAAAGCCCGGUGCAAGCGGGGUACCAGCCACUUUGGCAAAUCCGGGUGGCAAUGGGAAGCCGUGAUGCGGAG
This 963-nucleotide ribosomal RNA is filed under the name Anaerosalibacter bizertensis. Its description in RNAcentral is "partial 23S ribosomal RNA". It matches the Rfam family "Bacterial large subunit ribosomal RNA", at positions 596 to 1573 of the family's 2925-position model. Lineage: Bacteria; Bacillati; Bacillota; Tissierellia; Tissierellales; Sporanaerobacteraceae. The record is from RNAcentral.